Regulatory RNA element from Aeromonas hydrophila subsp. hydrophila ATCC 7966, 38 nucleotides. It matches the Rfam family "JUMPstart RNA". NCBI's taxonomy places the organism in Bacteria, Pseudomonadati, Pseudomonadota, Gammaproteobacteria, Aeromonadales, Aeromonadaceae. The record is from Rfam.
CAGCAAACUGGGGGCUGUAACUCAGGGGCGGUAGCUAU